GAAAGAGAAUCAAAGCGAGAAAGCAUGAGAUGCUUAAUCAGAUCGCAAACUAGUACAUCUUUGUAGAAACAAGGGUUAUACAUGACAGAACACAAACUAAAUCAUUUUUCCUUUUUCUUUUUUUGCAAACAUGUUAUAUGACUCCGGAUCCAUCAAGCAAAUCCCCAUCCAAAAUCAGAGAACUCUUAUCUAUCGAGAGAUGGACUCCUCCUUUUUCUUUUUUUGCAAACAUGUUAUAUGACUCCGGAUCCAUCAAGCAAAUCCCCAUCCAAAAUCAGAGAACUCUUAUCUAUCGAGAGAUGGACUCCUAUGCCGUAUAGAACAUAACGAAGUACUAAAAGUAGAGAUCGGCCAUAGCACAAGUCCUUGUUACUCCAGAUUCACAGAAAGAAUUUGUUACUCCAGAUUCACAGAAAGAAUCAGAAGCAGCAGAGCCACCCAACAAGUUAACAUAAGAUUCCUACACCUACAUAGCUGAAUCCCGUCACAGCAAGAACACCGCAAAAUCCCCCUCACUCGAUCCAGUCUAAAACGUCCAAAUACAACAGAUCCUCCCAGUAAACGCGCGCACGGGGGGAUGCGACCGAGCCGAAUCGGGCGGGUCAACGGCGUCCAGAUCGGCCCGCCCCCCCGCCGCCGCAUCCGCCAUCAUAGGGGAGGAGGAGGAGGAGGAGGCUUUUUAUUUUUUAUUUUACCGUGCCGUCGAGGGAGCCGGUCGGCGACGACGGUGUACGGCGAGAGAACGGGCGCGCCCCCUCCGUCCCUCGAUACCGCCGUCGAUCGGACCCGGCGGCGGCGAGGGGAGGAUUCGUCUCGCGGCGAGCUGAGGCUAAGACGAAAGGGGAGGAGGAAGGAGGGGAAAGGAGACGGGAGACUCGAGAGAGAGGGAG
Molecule: long non-coding RNA, 890 nt
Filed under: Oryza sativa (Asian cultivated rice)
Lineage: Eukaryota; Viridiplantae; Streptophyta; Magnoliopsida; Poales; Poaceae
Description: long non-coding RNA (OSAT_LNC000974)
Source: RNAcentral